ACGGAGGGUGCAAGCGUUGUUCGGAAUCACUGGGCGUAAAGGGCGCGUAGGCGGUUUGAUAAGUCAGAUGUGAAAGCCCACGGCUUAACUGUGGAAGUGCAUUUGAAACUGUCAGACUUGAGUAUCAGAGGGGAAAGUGGAAUUCCCGGUGUAGAGGUGAAAUUCGUAGAUAUCGGGAGGAAUACCGGUGGCGAAGGCGACUUUCUGGCUGAAUACUGACGCUGAGGCGCGAAAGCGUGGGGAGCAAACAG
RNAcentral lists this ribosomal RNA (251 nucleotides) under uncultured prokaryote. RNAcentral's name for it is "partial 16S ribosomal RNA". It matches the Rfam family "Bacterial small subunit ribosomal RNA", at positions 525 to 775 of the family's 1533-position model. The record is from RNAcentral.